This 261-nucleotide long non-coding RNA is filed under the name Elaeis guineensis (African oil palm). RNAcentral's name for it is "long non-coding RNA (EGUI_LNC041683)". Lineage: Eukaryota; Viridiplantae; Streptophyta; Magnoliopsida; Arecales; Arecaceae. The record is from RNAcentral.
AACUCUGCCCUCCGUAGCCCUCAGCUUGGACUCCAACCUCCUUCUGAUUGGCCAUGUGUAGUACUAUCUCGAGCUCCAUUGCCCGACACCUGGGGACCAAGAAGCCUUGAUCCACCAGAGCCAUAAUGUCAGCACCCUGCAAAUGAAGAAAGGUUAGCACCAAAGUUGAACCCCUGAAAUUAAAUCGGAGGAGCAUUGCUCUCAAAUUACCUAAGCCACCCAUGAACUUGAUAGUCUUGCAACAACAGCAUCUGCCGGCAG